GCGUUGGUAGUGCAAUGGUUAGCAUAUGCUCCCGGAAAGAGUGAGAUCUGGGUUUGAAUCCCCGGUGACGCA
This is a non-coding RNA of Parelaphostrongylus tenuis, 72 nucleotides long. Lineage: Eukaryota; Metazoa; Nematoda; Chromadorea; Rhabditida; Metastrongylidae. The record is from the annotation of a GenBank genome assembly.